CACCUGGGACACACCUGAGCACACCUGGGACACACCUGAGCACACCUGGGGACACCUGAGAUACACCUGGGCACACCUAGGCACAUGUGGGACACACCUGGGCACACCUGGGACACACCUGGGCACACCUGGCCAUGCAGAUGUUGGAUUUUUCCCGCCAUUCCCGGUUUUUUUCUCACCUUUUCCCGUUUUUCCCGUUUUUCUCCCCAAACCGCAGCCGGAUUUCGUCGGCAUCAUCUGCACCCGCCUGAGCCCCAAGAGACUGAUCGAGAAAUGGGUGGACUUCGCCAGGGCGACGAUGGAGUCGCACCUGGACACUCCGUACAACGUCCCCGACAUCGUGGUGACGAUCGCCAACAACGACAUCGACCUCGUCAUCCGGAUUUCGGACCGGGGGGGAGGAAUUCCCCACGAUUUGCUGGACAAGGUCACCGAGUACCAUUUCAGCACGGCCGAGGCGAGCGCGCAGGACCCGCGCCUGGGGGGGCCCUUCCGGGGCCUGAUGGAGCCCAACGGGCAGGCGGGGCCCAUGCACGGGUUCGGCUUCGGGCUGCCCACGUCCCGCGCCUACGCCGAGUACCUGGGCGGGUCCCUGGCGCUGCAGUCGCUGCAGGGCGUCGGCACCGACGUCUACCUGAGGCUGCGGCACAUCGACGGCAAGGCCGAGAGCUUCCGCAUCUAGGGGGGCUCGGGGGACCCCGGAAUCCCGGGAUCGGGGCGGGGAGAGCCGGGAGAACCUUCCAGAGUUGGGGUUUGGGUCAUCAGAACCGUGGAGAACCUUCCAGAGUCGGGGUUUGGGUCAUGGAGAACCUUCUAGAAUUGGGGUUGGGUCAUCAGAACCGUGGAGAACCUUCUAGAAUUGGGGUUGGGUCAUCAGAACCAUGGAGAACCUUCCAGAAUUGUGUUUUGGGCCAUGGAGAACCUUCCAGAGUUGGGUUUGGGUCAUCAAAACCAAGAAGAACGUUCCAGAGUUGGGUUUGGGUCAUGAAGAACCUCCCAAAGUUGGGUUUUGGUCAUCAAAACCGUAAAGAACCGCCCAGAUUUAGGGUUUGGGUCAUCAGAACCAAGAAGAACCUUCCAGAAUUGUGUUUUGGGUCAUCAGAACCAUGGAGAACCUUCCAGAAUUGUGUUUUGGGCCAUGGAGAACCUUCCAGAGUUGGGUUUGGGUCAUGGAGAACAUUCCAGAAUUGGGUUUGGGUCAUCAGAACCAAGAAGAAC
RNAcentral lists this long non-coding RNA (1218 nucleotides) under Cyanistes caeruleus (blue tit). RNAcentral describes it as "lncRNA (ENSCCEG00000000428.1)". Lineage: Eukaryota; Metazoa; Chordata; Aves; Passeriformes; Paridae. The record is from RNAcentral.